Molecule: ribosomal RNA, 484 nt
Filed under: uncultured bacterium
Lineage: Bacteria
Description: partial 16S ribosomal RNA
Rfam family: Bacterial small subunit ribosomal RNA
Source: RNAcentral
AUUGAACGCUGGCGGCAGGCCUAAUACAUGCAAGUCGAGCGGAUGAAGGGAGCUUGCUCCUGGAUGCAGCGGCGGACGGGCGAGUAAUGCCUAGGAAUCUGCCUUGUAGAGGGGGAUAACGUCCGGAAACGGGCGCUAAUACCGCAUACGUCCUGAGGUAGAAAGGGGGGGAUCUUCGGACCACACGCUAUUUGAUAAGCCUAAGACGGAUUAGCUAGUUGGUGUGGUAAAGGCCUACCAAGGCGACGAUCCGUAACUGGUCUGAGAGGAUGAUCAGUCACACUGGAACUGAGACACGGUCCAGACUCCUACGGGAGGCAGCAGUGGGGAAUCUUGGACAAUGGGCGAAAGCCUGAUCCAGCCAUGCCGCGUGUGUGAAGAAGGUCUUCGGAUUGUAAAACUCUUUAAGUUGGGAGGAAGGACAGUAAGUGUAUACCUUGCUGUCUUGACGUUACCAAAAGAGUAAGCCCCGGCUAACUUCGUG